This is a long non-coding RNA of Gorilla gorilla gorilla (western lowland gorilla), 730 nucleotides long. RefSeq lists it as uncharacterized. The record is from RefSeq and is a predicted model, not a curated record. NCBI's taxonomy places the organism in Eukaryota, Metazoa, Chordata, Mammalia, Primates, Hominidae. The transcript is spliced from 5 exons.
GUUCUUUCUCUUGAAGAUUCAAGUGAACCAGGGCAGGAGAAUGACAUCAGACUGGGCUUGUGCCUGAUAGUUCAUUUCUGAAGUGCUUCAAGAUUGAUGCAUCAGAUUUGCACAAUGUGCCACUUUAGGAGAUUAUUUCUUCCUUCCUUCGGCCAGACAGAAGACUGCAGUAGGCAUGACUUUGAAGAACCUGAAGAUGUGAAAAUGAAAUGGAUACUGUGCUCCUUUUGGCUAGGAUUGGGCAAUAACAGAGAAAUAGAGGCCACCAUCUGUGUGAAUACUUCACUGUGAUUAUCUCUCACCAUCAUCAAAUAGUUCAGAGCACUGAUCCUCACGAGUUGGACAUUUCCCCAUGAAACAGUAGCCUUCUGAGUUCUUGCAAGGAAAUCCAUUGACCCUGAACUGGUCCUUAGGACAAGCAGGCGAGUGGCCAGUGCACAUCUCAGGAAAAUCACAUUCAUCUUUCACCGGUCUGCAUAUGGACCCUGCUUUUUUUAUCUGUUGAGGAAAAAAAAGAGACUAAAUCCUGGAUACAUUUAGGGAUCCAGUACAUACCCUGCCUACCCCUUACCCACUUCGAAUUGGGAACCCCUGCUUAUAAUGAAGAAAUCUCCAGUCCCAAUAAAUCAGAUUCCUGCAUAUGAACUGGAGAAAAAUACCCUUGCUUUCACUGCUGGAGGGAACUGCAUAGAGAUAUUCUCUCAUUCAGCCAUUCAAUAUGAAUUUAAUU